AAUGACUCACUUUAACCCAACUGUCUAUUGGUAGAUGCACUUUACCGUCUUAGAUGCACCUAUAGUCCUAAUAUUACUUAACAUUGCUAGAUUGUUUACAUAUGCUUAUUAGAUGCACUAGAAUUCAUAAUCCAGUUAUCAUCAGUGGUCUUAGAUGAAUUAGGAGACAUGAUACAUGUUGCUCUCACUUCAUUAUCAGAAGCAUGAUCCCUUCCUAACAGCUGAAGUAUUUAUAACUACUUCUCAUAAGUGAACUAUGGCGGCAUCAGCUGAGUUCCUCCUCCUAGAGUGAUCUGUUGUCCUCCACCUAAAUAGCCUCCUCCAGAGUGAUUCAUACUAGAUCUGCCCAUAGGGAAAAAACCUACGUAAAUAGCAGUAUUAAUGUAAGUGUGUUCUUCUUUUUUCCUUUAAAGUUAGGGGGAUAACCAUAAAGCUUAUAGUAAUUCUCUUUGGUAUGGCCUUUCCAAUUACAAAAAUCACAUGAGAGAUUUCUUUUCUUCAGCUCUUAGUUGAAAAUGGAUGAGCUAGAGGGAGGAUGCAUGAUAGACUUGCCAUGAGGCUUUCCAUUACUAGAGUUGGAUGUACUACCUUGUCCCCUAGAGAAAUUAUAGGUUGGAGCUCCAUUAUAGUAAGUAGUGCUCUGACCCCUACUAGAACUAUUAGGACUGCUCUGACCACCUCUAUAACUGCUAUCAAUUGGGUCUCCAUCACUUGAGAACAUAUGCCUUUUCCACUAAAAAAAGGCAUUCCAUCAUGCACAUCGCUCAUGCCAACAGAGUUGGACUUAGCCAGAAUUCAUUGGCAUUCUUUAUAGAUUACCAGCGAGUAAGCUUUAUUGACAGGAGGAUAACAAAACAUCAUCAUGAUCUGACUGCGACACCAAUAAUAUGAGUCAUUAAGGCCCAUCAAAAACUACAUCAGAUGUUAAUAUUUGAAAUGUGCAACAUAGAUUUGUGAUUCUUCAUAAGGAAAGCUAGGGCAUGGCAUAACAGAAUCAAAAUUUUCCUAUUAACUCCUUCAUUCAAGAGAAACAACAAGACAUGUAAGAUGUUCCUUGCGUAAGUGUAACAAUUUUUUUAUGUAGAUAAAAAAAAAAAUUCGCUGUCAACCUUAUCAAAACACUCCUUCAAUUAACACCAAACCUUUGGGCACCGGAAGCAUAAACGAUACCGCUAAGCUCCUUGCUCACAAAUAUUAUUAUCCACGAAAGUAUGAUCAUAUUGUAUUUUUCCCAUAGAUCAUGCAACUCAGGUUUAAACUUAUCCUUCAUACAUUGUCCAUCGACAAAUCCAAGUUUAACUUAUCCUUCGUACAUCGUCCAUCGACAAAUCCAAGUUUACUCCUACCUAGAGUCUAAUACUCAUGGAUCUGUUUCAUAAAACAUAAUCCCUCCGUUUCAAAAAGAAUGACAUACUUUUCUUUUUAGUCUGUUUCAAAAAGAAUGAUCUCUUUUCUUUUUUGGCAACACUUUAAUUUCAACUUUUCACAUGGCAUGUUUAGAAUCACAAGAUUAAGGGCAUUUUGAUACAUUUGACACAACUUUAAUUCAACGCCAGAAGAUUUAAAAGUUUCCUUUAUUUUCCUAAACUUUGUGUCAAGUCAAAGUAGGUCAUUCUUUUUUAAACGAAGGGAGUAGUUCUUAGCUCCAGUUAAUUGCAUGGGUAAAUUAAGCUACCUAGAGUGUCGCAAGCUAGUAAAAAUAGCAGAUGAUGUUGAUCAAUCACCGUCAUAGCACCACUAGUAGAAGUUGUUCCUUCACUCGUAAAUCUAUUCACAGUUGCCAUUGAUGAAGAGAUAAGAAUCAAAUGAGAAUUUGCAAAAUUAAUGAUGCACCUUAAAAAACAAACCGAAAUUAACAAUGCACCUUCAACAAAAAACAUUGCGAUUUUAUGCAACGAGAACAAAGACCUCAACCUUUAUUACUUUGAUCGUUGCACGCAUGUCUAGAACAAAAAUGGAAGCUCAGAUCGAGAUCUAUGAUACCAUGAUGAACUUCAUCAAUGGAGGUUACAGAUUUGAGAAGAAAAGAGAAACUGUAAU
This 2040-nucleotide long non-coding RNA is filed under the name Capsicum annuum. RNAcentral describes it as "long non-coding RNA (CANN_LNC008477)". Lineage: Eukaryota; Viridiplantae; Streptophyta; Magnoliopsida; Solanales; Solanaceae. The record is from RNAcentral.